This 1134-nucleotide ribosomal RNA is filed under the name Triticum aestivum (bread wheat). RNAcentral's name for it is "partial small subunit ribosomal RNA". Lineage: Eukaryota; Viridiplantae; Streptophyta; Magnoliopsida; Poales; Poaceae. The record is from RNAcentral.
AUGGCUUCCUCAACGGCUUUCCUCCUCCUCCUCGUCGCUGCCUUGCACGUGUGUUGCUGCCGCGGGCAAGGUGGCCACGCCGGCACCGGCGUGGCGGCGAUCUACAGCCUGGGCGACUCCAUCACGGAUACGGGGAACCUGGUGAAGGAGGCGCCGCCCGGCGCCUUCGAGACCAUCAAGCACCUCCCCUACGGCCUCACCUUCGGCCGCCCCACCGGCCGAUGCUCCGACGGCCUCCUCAUGAUCGACUUCCUCGCUCAGGACAUGGGCCUCCCGUUCCUCAACCCUUACCUGGCCAUGAACAGGAGCUUCGACCACGGAGCCAACUUCGCCGUCGCUGGAGCCACCGCCAUGGACCCCGCCGACCAGUUCAACAGGAGAUUCUCCAUGCCUUUCACCGCAAAUUCCCUCAAGCUGCAGCUCCGGUGGUUCAAGGACUUCAUGAAGUCCACCUUCAACACCGACGAAGAAAUUCGCAAAAGGCUCCAAUCUUCUCUGGUUUUGGUCGGGGAGAUCGGUGGAAACGACUACAACUUCGCCUUGUUCGGGAAUAAGAAUGUCAGCGAGGUGGAGAAACUCAUCCCAGCCGUCGUUCAAACCAUCAUCGACGCCACCAAGGAAGUGCUGGACAUGGGCGCUAGCAGAGUCAUCGUCCCGGGCAACUUCCCCAUCGGCUGCCUCCCGAGCUACCUCACCGCGAUGGCCGAGCCGGAGACGUCGGCCUACGACUCCGCAGGCUGCCUCAAGGACCUCAACCUCUUCGCCGCCAAGCACAACGCGCAGCUCCAGCGAGCCGUCGCCGGUCUCCGGGCGUCGUACCCCGACGCGGCCAUCGCCUACGCGGACUACUUCAACUCCUUCCUCAGCCUCCUCAAGGGCGCCCCGGCUCUCGGUUUCGACGAGGAUAGCACGCACAAGGCGUGCUGUGGCGCCGGCGGCAAGUACAACUACGACGUGAGGCGGGCGUGCGGCGUGGAGGGGGCGGCGGUGUGUGCGGACCCGUCGGCGUACGUGAGCUGGGACGGCAUCCACAUGACCCAGGCGGCGUACAAGGCCAUGUCCAGGCUCAUCUACCACGGGAGGUACCUGCAGCCGCAGAUACUCAGCUUCCCGGAGAACAAUGGGCAGACAUGA